Molecule: long non-coding RNA, 1143 nt
Organism: Capra hircus (goat)
Lineage: Eukaryota; Metazoa; Chordata; Mammalia; Artiodactyla; Bovidae
Exons: 4
Source: RefSeq, a predicted model, not a curated record
CUUCCCAGGACGAGUGCAAUAAAAUCAGCAGACUACCAAUUCCAUGGUUCGCACAGACUGCCCUGUAAAACUGAGCUCCUCAUUGUACGGAGUGUGGAAAACCUGAUCCUAAAUGAGGCUGCUAAUUGACUCGGUUUGCCAGCUCAUUUGGUAAGCGUCAAGCUGCUCUCCUUCCAGCUCUUUUGUUUGAGUCAGUUCUGGGGACACCUCUCUGAAGAAGCACCCUGGGACCCUGAAGCUCCAUCAGCAAUCAGAGCACCCAGGAAAGACCUCAGGGCAGGAAGCACUGUGUCCCUGGGCAGAGGCGAACCACAUGUUGACACAAAGAGCAUUUAGCCAACUGUUACAGAUUUCCAGAGACCAUGGUUUAUGAAGCAUGACUUACCACAAGCUUACUUCCAGUUGGCAAGCAUAAGACGGGGAGGAAACUGGCUUCAUGCACAAUUACCCACAUUGAUUCAUAACAAAAUGUGAGGUUGAGUUGGCAUGGUCUUCUGACGAUUACCAACCUCCUUCUCAAAGCUCACCUGGGGGAUGUGGUCCUCUCUGCUGACCAAACUAUUUCCUGUGAGUUUCACCAAGAACCACGAAGUGAAGCUGAUUAAGGAGUAAAGAUCUUGGAAAGAUGGCUCAAGUGUCUCAGUGGACAUGUUAUCAAAAGCCCUGGAAACAAAAGGAAUGUUGUUUAUAUCAUAACCAAUGAUUGAAAAAUCAGCCUAUGGCCCUCAUGUAUAAACAAGAAAUGCUUAAAAAACUUUUGAGACUACAGGGAUGAUUACCAACUAGAUAAUUGAUGAUGUUUGGAAUAAUUAUAAGAUUUUAGAUACAGUAAGACUGUUGAGGUUAUAAUAUGCAAAACUUCUUAUCUUAAGAGGAAGGGAUUGGUUGCAGUUGCUGUGGCAUCUGAAAUUGCUUCAGAAUAUCUGGGGAAGAGAGAACAGGGGAUUCAAAUGGAGCAAAAUUGGCCGCAACUUGUUGUCACUGAAGCUGAGUGACAGAUUCAGGAUGACACAUGAUGUGUGGAUAGAUAUGAUAAUAUCCUGUAUUAUCUUUGAAAUUUUCCACACAAACACGUUAAAUAAAUCAGUACUUUUAAGGGAAGAAUUCUAGAACUCAUUUCACAAAUCUUUUUGUUUUUGAAAC